AUCUAUCUUAUGAGUCCCAAAUAGGACGAAACGUGCAUCCUGGAU
RNAcentral lists this non-coding RNA (45 nucleotides) under Schistosoma mansoni. The record is from RNAcentral. Lineage: Eukaryota; Metazoa; Platyhelminthes; Trematoda; Strigeidida; Schistosomatidae.